Molecule: long non-coding RNA, 335 nt
Organism: Amphiprion ocellaris (clown anemonefish)
Lineage: Eukaryota; Metazoa; Chordata; Actinopteri; Pomacentridae
Source: Ensembl
GCUGAUCCUGGACCAUCCCACAGAUGCUCAAUCAGAUCUGGAUGUGGGGAGUGUGGAACCCAGAUGUUCAGAGGGAGAUGAUGCCACAUCUGGUCCAGCCGAUGGAAGGUCUUGAAGUUCUCUGACUGGCCUCAACUGAAGAUGGUCGUCUCACUGGAUUUAAGAUGCACAAUGAGGGACGUCUGCAGAGACUGAGAAAGAGUCUCACCACAUCCUGACAUGAGGAAAAAGACUUUAUUGAAGACUACAAUGAGAAAAACUAUCAGACAGCAGACGGCUGCAUUCAAGGUGAGCUCUGAACAUUUGAUCUGGAACAGGAAUUCAGUAACGGCAGC